AAUAGAUACCCGGGUAGUCCACGCCGUAAACGAUGAUAACUAGCUGUCCGGGCACUUGGUGUUUGGGUGGCGCAGCUAACGCAUUAAGUUAUCCGCCUGGGGGGUACGGUCGCAANGAUUAAAACUCAGAGGAAUUGACGGGGGCCUGCACAAGCGGUGGAGCAUGUGGUUUUAAUUCGAAGCAACGCGCAGAACCUUACCAGCCUUUGACAUCCCGCGCNUAACCUGAGAGAUCAGGGGGUUCCCUUCGGGGACGCGGUGACAGGUGCUGCAUGGCUGUCGUCAGCUCGUGUCGUGAGAUGUUGGGUUAAGUCCCGCAACGAGCGCAACCCUCGUCCUUAGUUGCCAUCAUUUAGUUGGGCACUCUAAGGAAACCGCCGGUGAUAAGCCGGAGGAAGGUGGGGAUGACGUCAAGUCCUCAUGGCCCUUACAGGCUGGGCUACACACGUGCUACAAUGGCGGUGACGAGUGGGCAGCAACUCGCGAGGGUGAGCUAAUCUACCAAACGCCGUCUCAGUUCGGUAUUGUUCU
Molecule: ribosomal RNA, 531 nt
Filed under: uncultured bacterium
Lineage: Bacteria
Description: bacterial SSU rRNA
Rfam family: Bacterial small subunit ribosomal RNA
Source: RNAcentral